RNAcentral lists this ribosomal RNA (409 nucleotides) under Actinomycetes bacterium. Its description in RNAcentral is "Actinobacteria bacterium partial 16S ribosomal RNA". It matches the Rfam family "Bacterial small subunit ribosomal RNA", at positions 355 to 776 of the family's 1533-position model. Lineage: Bacteria; Bacillati; Actinomycetota; Actinomycetes. The record is from RNAcentral.
UGGGGAAUAUUGCACAAUGGGCGGAAGCCUGAUGCAGCGACGCCGCGUGGGGGAUGAAGGCCUUCGGGUUGUAAACUCCUUUCGACAGGGACGAAGCUUUUGUGACGGUACCUGUAUAAGAAGCGCCGGCUAACUACGUGCCAGCAGCCGCGGUAAUACGUAGGGUGCGAGCGUUGUCCGGAAUUACUGGGCGUAAAGAGCUCGUAGGUGGUUUGUCGCGUCGUCUGUGAAAUUCCGGGGCUUAACUCCGGGCGUGCAGGCGAUACGGGCUGACUUGAGUGCUGUAGGGGAGACUGGAAUUCCUGGUGUAGCGGUGAAAUGCGCAGAUAUCAGGAGGAACACCGAUGGCGAAGGCAGGUCUCUGGGCAGUAACUGACGCUGAGGAGCGAAAGCAUGGGUAGCGAACAGG